RNAcentral lists this long non-coding RNA (2383 nucleotides) under Homo sapiens (human). Its description in RNAcentral is "PRKAG2 antisense RNA 2". Lineage: Eukaryota; Metazoa; Chordata; Mammalia; Primates; Hominidae. The record is from RNAcentral.
GCUUUCAGCUGGAAUGUUAUCAACUUCGGUCACGCUGAUUAUCUCAGGCUGAUCAGGAAGGCUGGUACCAGGAGUGAGUGACUAAAUGAAGAAAUUACUAAUUAACAAAUGCUUGGGUGGACAAUCCUUCAAAAUUUAGGAUCAAUGGGAGGAGACAGAAGGAGUCUUGGGAGGAUUUUUAAAAUAUGCCAGAGCUGGCUGGGUACAGUGGCUCACACCUGUAACCUGAGGACUUUGAGGUGGAGACGGGCAGACCACCUGAGCUCAGGAGCUCAAGACCAGCCUGGGCAACAUGGCAAAACCCUGUCUCUACUAACACUAUAAAAAGUUAGCUGGGCGUGUUGGUGCAUGCUGUAGUCCCAGCUACUCAGGAGGCUGAGCCACGAGAAUCGCUUGAACCUGGGAGAUGGAGGUUGAAGUGAGCCAAGAUCGCACCAUUGCACUCCAGCCUGGGGAAAAAAAAAAGCCAGGCCUCCUAAUGUACUCAUUUAAACAUCACUUGUGUCCACCUGGGUUCAGAAUUGCGCUGGACAUGGGAUACACAAAGCGGGAGUGGAAUUUUCAGGAAGCAGCUGUGCUGUGGGUGACGGUCAUACUUUAUUCUCUAAAACUCUCCAGUUUCAAUUGGCCUCUUGGUGCCAAAGCACCAUGGCGUGUUACACCUAUCAGAUCGGGCACACUGCCCCUUCUUCCCAACCUACGAGCUGAAAUGGCCAGCACUGCGCCUUCCAGAACCCAGCGUAGAUGCACAGCUGCCACGGAGGUAGGAAGAAUGAUUCGUUUGCCACCAAAAGCCCAGUUUCUCCAACAGGUGAAUCCCUAGGCCAGCCCGGCCCCUUCCCACACACCCCUACCCCGAGACGGGUGCAGAAUCAGCAGCGGGGAUCAUCCAGAGACUCUCGCAGUCCACGGCAGGUGUCGGAGUGGGCCUCAUUCCAGAGUUGUGGUGGCCGCUCCACCUGGCGAGCUUCGAGGGGACUCCGGCAGGCGCUCGCUGUGGGGUCCUCCCACCAGUCUUCUCAGCACAGGAACGGUGCCUUCACAUUGGUCUUCCGGGGCUUAAAAGCAUAUCAUUCCUGCUUGCUCUUCAGAUGCAAACUCCCCCUCCAAGGAUACCUCCAGGUUCCCUGCCAGCUCACUUGACUCACAUGGCAAUGGUCACCGGGCUGCCUGAGCCCAAAUCAAGCACCGUUUAUUAGGGGGAAGCUCCGUUAUCCAGAAAGCUCAUCUUUGAAGAGCUACCCAUUUCCUGCCAAAGUUGUGGCGGGAAGGCCUUAGGUACUAGAAAACCUUGGGGAAUGGCAAUUAAAGGAUUAUCAUUCUUACUUAUUUGUUUGGAUAAGCAGCAAUCACCCUUCGGAUGCUUAUUGGUGAGAAUAUUUCUAAAAGUGUCCUGCACAUUUCCCUGCUUUGAUGAAUGGAACGGCAGGGCAGGAUUUAACUGUCUGAUGGCUACGGUUUUGGGAAAGUGCCAGAACCUCCACGUCAGCCACCCCAGAGCCACAGGCAGGGUAUGAGCCACAGCAAUGGGCCCCAAGAAAGAGCCCCACACCCACCAUGGUCCACGGAAGACGCUGCUUACUGGCCCCGGGUUACCUGGAGUCAUGUGCAUUCUCCUUACAUCAAGUGAAGAUAAUAUUUUGUUUCCUUCCCACUUUUUCUCUAACACAAGCCACCCCAGUUCUCCCUUCUGACAACAGGCAAGUGGACCCUAGUAGACCUUCCAGAAAAGCCUUAGAGAGCACCCCCAAAUGCUCACAUUUGUCAGCUGUAAUUCCACCCUCAGUUAAAACCUGAUUCUCAAUGUGACUUGGCCAACGCAGCUUGCAAAGCAAGAACGUCUUCAUCUAAGGUUGAAAACAUCAGUUGUUUGGGUUGUGAGAAAAGAAAAGCCCACAAGGUUUCCGAGGCUUGGUGCUGUUUCUCACUGUCCUCAGCUCCUGAUUCUGCAGCUGGUUCUCUCUCCAAGCACUAGCAAAACCCUGCCCUAGGAGCCCCCAGACUCUGAGAGCCCAUGACCAAAAAGAAAAGGAAAGCCAAGUUGGGGAAGAACAGGGGCCCCCAACUCCACAGCCCUCCACUCUGCCCAGAGGGCCCACCCUGGGCUGCCUGGAACCCCCUAAAGUUGCCACCCCCGCAACACAGUAGUGGGGCAGUUCCUGGCAGCGCCUGCAGCCCAUGGGCUGGCUCUGUACCCGCAGCCCCGCCAAGCGUCUGUUAUCUUAUUUACUGGAAUCUGCACAGCCAGGCUCUAGCUCACCGGUGACUAAGGAGCUGCAGCCAUUAUUACCAGGCAGAUGGCAGACUCCCUAAAAGCAGACAUUAAACAAUAAAAUGCCACCACAUACCUUGCCCACAAAAUAAAAUCAAAACAAACACCUAA